This 1545-nucleotide long non-coding RNA is filed under the name Equus caballus (horse). RNAcentral's name for it is "lncRNA (ENSECAG00000055353.1)". Lineage: Eukaryota; Metazoa; Chordata; Mammalia; Perissodactyla; Equidae. The record is from RNAcentral.
GGGGCCGGGGAGGCACUUUGAGAGAUGAGGAGUGUGGAGGAAACUAGGGCUGGGCAUAGCAGAGCCACUCCCGCAAAGAGCUAACAGGGAAGAUAAGCUGAUCUCAUUUCUGAAGACCUGGGGGCUCCCUUCUGAAGGUGGGGAAGCUCGAGAGGAGUAGGAGGAGAUCUGAGCCCGUCUGGGGAUACCCCGGGACAGUCAAGGUAUUUGUCCAUAAGCACUCAUCUUAGUCACCAGGAAUGUUGGGGAACACAGUUUUACGUGCUGUGAGGAGACCUGAAGAAAUAUGUCACCCUCCCUGCCCUCAGGGAGCUUACAGUCCAUCCAGGAAGAGGAGAAGAGCACAUGUCAAAAAGCUUCAAGGUUCCAGGUCGUAUGUGUUGAAUGAAUGGAGACAUGAAGCAUAAACGUUUCAAGGAAGGUGUGCGUCUGGGCUGGGUGGCUGCUAACUUCAUGACUGGGACAACACUGAAGACUCUUUCCUGAUACUCUUCAAGUGCUUGUUUCUCUAAAACUACCACUCCUUUCUGGUUUAUAGCCCAGGGCCAUCCUGGACAGUCGCCACCAGGCCUGCCAUCACUAUGGGGUGGCCCAAGGCCAUGUCUGCCAGGAACACCACCAUUUGGUAUUUAUCUAUGCAAAAUUUACAUUGACCGCUGAUGAGCAAAACAGUGCGCUCCACAUAUAGAUUGAGGGUGUGGGGCUUUUGCCACUGGAGUUCCCCCUGUGUUGAGUCACGGUGGCAGAAGGCACAGUGACAGAAGUCCCUGGGAGCCGCUGACUGGCGCUUGGAGGACUGAGUGAUUCAGCAGCGAGGCCCCCCUCUGGCCCUCCUGCCCCAGAAAGCUCUGGAUCUGCACGGAAGCAGCACGGUAAAGGGUGGACGAAUUGUGGGUGUGGAUGCUUUCCCACAAGUCUGUGCUCCCCAGUUCAGUUGUCUGGGCUCUUAUUAAAAGGGUUCGUUCUCCUCCUUAGAGUCAGACGGAGGCCCCCUGUGGGCUGCUGCUUGGGAACGGCCGGGGGUGUUCUCUGGCUGGGGCUUCAGAGGAUGCAAGGACAACCCCACAGAGCAGGAACAGCCUGCCAGUUCCAUGCCCGCAGCGGCCCCCAGAGCAGCUGCCCCAGGACACACGGAUGAGAGGGGAGGGUGUCAGAGGGGCUUCGGUAGACUUGUUGCCAUGGAAGAACUGUGGGACCAGUACAGCCAGACAUCCUAACUUUUCCAGAGAAGCCAUAAAUCUGGAUUUUCCUGUGAAGUCUUCUGACAUUUCACCCUUUGCAACCCAUUAAAUUGUUUUAAAAACACCUCCUGCGUCAAAGAAAAUGACUUUGGGCCACCCUCUUAUGCCCUCCAAUUUAGACCCCAAACAGCAAGCAGAGUGUCCACCUCUUUAGUCCAGAUGAUUAGCACCCAGCACCUGUGGUGACGUGCUCCUCAGAGCGCUCCUUCCUCAGGGGGCGAAGCUGGCAAAUGCGACUGGGGCAGGCGCAAGUGCUGGCAUCAGUGUGGGGUCACCAGCUAACACCCACCCCAGGAGGUUUCAG